RNAcentral lists this ribosomal RNA (31 nucleotides) under Curvularia hawaiiensis. RNAcentral describes it as "partial 28S ribosomal RNA". Lineage: Eukaryota; Fungi; Ascomycota; Dothideomycetes; Pleosporales; Pleosporaceae. The record is from RNAcentral.
UUGACCUCGGAAAGCGGAGGACCGGGAAACA